GACGAACGCUGGCGGCGUGCUUAACACAUGCAAGUCGAACGGUAAGGCCCUUCGGGGUACACGAGUGGCGAACGGGUGAGUAACACGUGGGUGAUCUGCCCUGCACUUCGGGAUAAGCCUGGGAAACUGGGUCUAAUACCGGAUAGGACCACUGCCUGCAUGGGUGGUAGUGGAAAGCUUUUGCGGUGUGGGAUGGGCCCGCGGCCUAUCAGCUUGUUGGUGGGGUGAUGGACUACCAAGGCGACGACGGGUAGCCGGCCUGAGAGGGUGACCGGCCACACUGGGACUGAGAUACGGCCCAGACUCCUACGGGAGGCAGCAGUGGGGAAUAUUGCACAAUGGGCGCAAGCCUGAUGCAGCGACGCCGCGUGGGGGAUGGCGGCCUUCGGGUUGUAAACCUCUUUCAGCACCGACGAAGCGCAAGUGACGGUAGGUGCAGAAGAAGGACCGGCCAACUACGUGCCAGCCGCCGCCGUAA
Molecule: ribosomal RNA, 478 nt
Filed under: uncultured bacterium
Lineage: Bacteria
Description: partial 16S ribosomal RNA
Rfam family: Bacterial small subunit ribosomal RNA
Source: RNAcentral